RNAcentral lists this long non-coding RNA (44088 nucleotides) under Coffea arabica (coffee). Its description in RNAcentral is "long non-coding RNA (CARA_LNC005144)". The record is from RNAcentral. Lineage: Eukaryota; Viridiplantae; Streptophyta; Magnoliopsida; Gentianales; Rubiaceae.
GGGUUGCAUACUUAAUAAGCAAAGAUUUGUUAUUUAUUAAGUUGAUGACCACUAAACUUGCUUUUCAGUCCAAAACUAUAGGGAGUUAAAGGUAAGGUUCUAAACCAUGUUGAGAUCAAAUAUAGGAUGCUCGAACCAAAAGGCGAUAUUGGUAGUUUAUCAUAGUGAUUAUAAUUAUUUCAAUUCUGGUAUCAUCUUUUCUUUUAUGCUUAUUAGAAGAAACAAUUGCUUAUUCUACUCUUUCUAAAAAACGUUACAAAGUGUCCAUUUGAUUAGUUCACUCUUUUGCCAGUGGAUGCUGUAAACACUCUGCUUGAUCUUGCGCCUACAAGUCAGAGGUUAGUGAAACACAUUUCGGUCACUGACUGCAAUUCAACAACGUUUAGGUCCAUUAUAGAAUGCAGCUGCAACAACAGUACGAAUGCGUGCUGGGUGACUACAAUGUAUGUUUUCUCUUACUCGUAUCCAUUUUACUCUUUCAUCUGAGCUUUGACAUUUCAUAACAAAUAUUAUAGGGUUUUCGGAAAAUUUUCUUUUAGCAAGGCAACGCUGUAGUUUUUUUCUUUCUUUUUUUUUUUUCAUUCACAGACAUUUGACAAAAAUAAAAUAAAAGUUACAGGAAAAUUACCACCGCCCACAGUCCCCGCCCUAUCAACCCUGUCCAACCCCGCAAAAAAUCCCUAAAGCUCUCCCCAUGAGAUCUUUCUCCCUUAUUCACGACCAGAUACCUCGAUCUGGUCUUGACUAGAUCGAGGAGGGUAGGGGAGGGCCAGGGGGUGGGGGGAAAGGGAGGGGAGGAGGAAGAGGGAAGGGGAAGAGGGGAGAAAGAAGAGGGAGGGAGCGGUGGUGGUUGUGGAUGGCAGUAUUAAUUUUUUAAAAAUAUUCUAAAAAUAUUUUAAUUUUAAAAUGUACAUCAAAAUAUAUUCCAAAAACCCCUCCAAAAACAUCAUAUAAAACAUGUAUAGUAAAAGUUUUUCAUAUACACUGCUAUAGUAAAAUAUUUCAAAAAUAUCCCAAAAAUAGUUAAUCCAAACGGAAUUGUGCUUCCCAACAUGAGUACCUUUUCUAUAAUAUUGCUGAGGCUAGUUACGUAACUAAAGAUUUGGUUAAAAAUAUAUUUUUUCCUUCAAAGAAAAUUUCUGUAAUUUUCUUGAGGAAUGAAAUUUGGGUUGGAAGGAAACUAUUAGAGAAGAGUGUUAAAGUUUAUUUUUGUAUCUAAGAUAGCGACUUUUAAAAAAAGUCCUCUUCUCUUAGUGGUUAUAAAUAUGAUAGGCUUAAAUAAAUUCAAAGAUGCUAAGGUGCCAUUGACGAGCACGGAGUAUACAUAUAACAAUUAACUCAUUCACAGUCAAGUUUUACCGUUAUAACAUCCUAAACUAAAGGAAGAUUGUCAAUUACUGGCACUACUAAGCACCUCUAUUAUUUAGACGACCAACAAAUUAAAGAAAAUAAAAAUAUGCUAAACUUGUGCAAGAAAAUAGAAAAUGAAAGCUUCUUAGAUUAUGGUAUCCCUAACUACUCAUGCAAGUGCUAUUUUUGGAUCAUUGAGUACUACUAUCUUGGUUAGUUAUGGUGUAAUUUUCUAAUAUAUGUGAAACCUACUCUAAUAAUGAAUCAACUAUACUUGUAACUAAGACAUACCUACUCUCGUGGUUAUAAAAUUAGCUACAAGUUUAUUUUAUGUAAUCACUAAAACUACAAAGGUGCAUCUCUACUCUCGUGAGUAUACUCCCUAGGUUUAGCACUUCUUAAACUAGUGUUAAAUCUCAAUUUUCAUUGAAGAAACAGUACCUUUAGAUAAUCACAACUAAUGGUACCAAGUUAAUCAUGAUUUAAGGAGCAAAAGGGCUAAAUAACUUGCUCAAAAUAAAGGCAUCAAAUAGCCAAAAAAUAAGCACUAAACAAUCAUAGAAAGUUUAAUCAAAACCCAAGGCAUAAACUUUAGAGAGACAUAAUAAACAUAAAAUCCAAACUUGUAUAAUAACUAAACAAUAGAAUCAAAUACAAAAGAUAAAGAGUUUGGAAAGAAAUGUAACCCUUGUCACAUGAGUUCAUCUCCUUCGUUUUCGUCUCCUUCUUCAUCUUUGCCUCGCUAAUAAACAAGAAGGAUAAACUAACUAGUUAAAUUAUCCUAUAUUAUACUAAGCUAACAUUCAAAAAUGUAAGAACUACAUUUUAGUUGUAUUUCUUACCCUCUCCAAGCUCUUUUGAUUCUUGCAACUCCAUGGCUAUUUAUAGAUGAAUUUAGUCAAAAAAUGAGCCUUCAAACAUCACUUUUACAGUUGUAAAAUAGUUGUCACACGUCCAUUUAUACCUAUGACUUAUUGGAGGAAAAAACAAGUUGUGCAAGUGAAGAGCCAUAAUUUCUGACCAGAAUCUGGCCAAAUAUCCGUUCAGAAACUAGCCGGAUUGUCUGGCCAAAUUUCUCCCCUGCUUUGCUUCUCAAUUUAUGUUCAGUCUUCAAUGUUGUUCUAAUUUUGCAUCAAUUUCAACUGAACCUUUCUCGAUGAUAGAAGCUGAAUUAACUUUUGACCAAAACAUAACACUUGUAUCCUUUUGAGUUAGCUUUCCAAUGCAUCAAAAAUUACCUCAUUUGAAUUUGUGUAGGCUACAAAAUGACUGAAAUACCCUUAACUGCUCAAUGCCAUGUUGCAGCUUUAACCAUAGAAGUUGGCUAUUGUAAUUCGGUUUUUCAAUCUGGAAAACCUUUAAACUGGAUUUAGAUAUCUUCAUAGAAAUUGUAGAUCUAUCUCUUAUCUUUUAAAAUGGUUCAAGAAUCAUCUCAAUUUGAUCAUUGUAUCUCAAGUUAUAGCCAAAAUACAAAAAUAUGUCAAAGCUGUCAACUUUCCUUUUUCAUCCAAAUAAAGUCUAUUUCCAACUCCUAUAAAAAUUAUGAAUAAAAUACAAGUAAAAAGGGACAUAAACCUUAUUUAAACACUUAAGAGCAUUUUAAACUAAUUAUAGCCAAAAUAAUCAAUUUCCUUCUUAUAGCAAUGCAAAAGUGACUGAAAAUAACAUAAAAUGUCAUUUUCGUGUAGCUCAAAAUAGUCACUUAUCAGCCAUCAAGAAAGAGGUUUGGAGAAGCCCUAGGGCCUAAUUUGAAAACGGCUUUAGGUUAAGCACCAAAUUAUGAGAAUUAGUUUUAGUACGCUAUUUUGAAUCUUUGGGUCGUUGAGCCUUUUCUAAUAUUUUGGCUUCUCUUGUGAUUUUAAGUAUAAGUAAAUCUUAUAUACAUUGACAGUGUAUACACUAUUACCAUUCGAUCCAUUACAUAUGUGUAAAAAAUUCAAGUUUUGCAUAGUUACUAUUAAUCUAAUCUAACAGUAUAUAUAUUAUCAGUAUAGGAAAGAUUGAUCGUUUAAGUAUUUGUGCUUUUGGACUUAUGAACACUUUCUCCUGAAUUAAUUGAUUGUUACUAUCUCGACUAGUUAUGGCUUAAUUUCUUAAUGGGAAAAGUUACCCCUGUUUAUAUCUAUAUAAAAUGGGAAAAGUUAGUCAUUGUUAUACCCAUGAGUGCAAGAUUAAAAAUUAUAACUUGUAUCAUUAGUGUUGAUACCCUAUAUUAGAACUUGUACAAGAUAUGGAAUUAAGAUAGAAAAGUGUUAAUAUUACCUCUCGCAAACUUCUUUUUGACUUGUCAAUCUUCAUAAAGUAAUUUAUUGACAAUUAUUUCAUAAAGUAACAUGUAACGUACUCCCACACUAGUUCGACCAAAGAAAGACAUAAUCACGAUAACAACACAUGAUAAGGUUGCAAGAUAGUAUCCUUCUUAUUAGUUGUAGUUAUUUCAUUUUGAUCUUUGUAAUCAGUGAGAUUCUAAUAAAUAAUGUAUCAACUACUGAUUUGCAGUGAUCUCCAUAAUUUCAAGUUAAGCGGUCGAAUACCUGAGAAUAUUGGAAAUCUUGCUUAUUUGGAAUCACUGUAAGCAAGUCUAAAUCACUUUCAAUCUAGCAUUAUUUGUUGGUUAAUUUAUGAUUGAUUCAGUUUUUCUUCACCUACUACAUGGCAUGCAAUUGAUAAUUGCUAUGGCUAAUUUACAUAGAAUUGUUAUACUCCUCCAUGAACCUAUACUAAGUAGUAGACAUUUAUUUGUUAGUAUCAAUAUUGUGAACCUCUUGUAAGUCGCAACUCUGGAUUUUUAUGAAUUCUUGUUGGUUUUCUUCUUCUUUUUUGCAGAACUAGUAUGAGAUAUUUAGUCAUAGAGGAACUCGCAUAACAAAGAAAUUUUUUUUUUUUUUGAUAAUAGCAUAACAAAGAAAUUAACUAUCGACAGCUGACCACUAAGUUUGUGCUGACUCAUGCAUUCGCGUACUAUUUAGUGCUAACUAGCUCUAGGCCCAGCGCAUUGCACGGGAUCACAAUUUUUAAAUCAAUCUAAAACUUAGAUUAUGUUAUUAGAGAUUACAUUAGUAGAAAAUCUUUUGGAAUCCUUACAAUGAAAUGUCAUUUAAGGAGGCGCAGUUUGAGAUCUUAGUAUGAAUGUAUAACUAUUAAUUUUUGCCUUAUGGUUCUAAUCUUCUUGAAGCACAAGAUGUAGAUUCGACUACAGGUCAAGGUUUCAAACAUCUGCACCUACAGUAACCCACCCCAUUGGUUCAGUUGAGCCCUCCUUUUGAUUGAUUAGGAUAGAUGUAUGAAUAGUGUAAGAGUUGAUGAUUAAGAGAAUAAAAGUUUUAAUCUUCUAAAUAUUUCUUUUCGAACUAAUUAAUCUUUAAAAUGUAUUGCACUACAAUGAAGAUGAAGGUCUUAAAUUGAAAAUCACAAAACUACAAAUUUUGCAACUAACUUAAAUCAAUGUUUGAUCAAAUUGAAAAUGUUUAACAUUCGAUCAAUUAUUUGUAUCUAAGAAGCAAAUUAAAUUGCACAAAUUUUUUAUAAGUUAGUUUAACUAAUCUAUUUUCUCUACCUAAAAUGUGGGAGUUUAGACAUUUGAAUGAAACUAAGAAGUAACCAAUUAGACAACAUCAUCAAACCUAUUUUGGCAUAAAAGCAAUUAAAAAAAUGAGAAAAUAACAUAUGAAUUGCUCAUUGGAAGGCUAAUAGAGGAAAUAGAUUGGAGAAUAAUAUAGUAGUUGAGUAAAAACACGUAAUGUGCUUUCUACUGGAAGGCUUAAAGAAGAAAUGAAUUGGAGAACUUCUAUUAGCUAACAAAACGAAUACGUGUAUUAACAAAAAGCACGUUUUUCUACCAGUUUUACCAAAAAAACUUCGAAAUGAGCAGAAAAAUGGAAGGGGGCACACUACUGCAUGUUGCAUUCUUGAAACUAUAUUUUUGAUGUCACCUAGCUAAAUUUAUGUUUCACCUUUGCACUGAUGUGAGGGAUGGUUUGAAUUUUGACUUAAAAUCUUGUCGUGCAGUCUGUGUUUUGGUAGCUUGUGAGUUAUAUUUCCAUCUCUUGGCCAGUUGGCCUUCUUGAAAGGAAUACUUAGAAAUCACACAAAUAUUGGAAGACUGUUCUUAGUAUUCAAAUGGUAUCUAAUUUUCGUUGACACGUUUAUGUUGCAGUAACUAUUGUGUUUGCCUUUUAUCCUACAAAGAUUGUAAUUUUUUUUAAAAAGAAAAGUAAAUAUUGUGAAUGGAUGGUAUCUUUUCUAAAUCUUUUUGCCAUUUUAACUGUCAUUCUCUUGAUGCAUUACUUUGUAUACUCAAGCAAAGUUUUUCCUUUUUUUUGGGUUCUCUUUCAUGUAGGAAUCUUUAAAAUUGCUCCAAAAAUUUUUUCCGUGCUUCUUUAAGUUGUGCAGAUGCAUAUUUACUUUAGAUUUGGAGGUUAAUAUGUAUAUCUUGAUUUGAUUUUUCAGAGACCUUUCCGGAAACUAUCUUAACGGGCAAAUUCCUGAAUCUUUUCGAAAUUUGUCGAGGAUAUCUGAAAUGUGAGUAGGAGUUAUCUGACUCAUGUGAUAUUUCAAUUUUAGAGAUGAGUUUGCAGGUCUAAUUUUGAUGUUUCAGAGACCUCUCCUCCAACCAUCUCAGUGGAACAAUUCCUAAUUGCUUUCAAAAUCUGUCGCAGAUAACUGAAAUGUAAGCAACUCAUUAGAACUUACUGAAUUUUCUUACUUCUUUUUCUCUUUCAACAGUUGCUACUUUGUUAACUGCUCACGAAAUACAAUUCUGUUGUCUUGUUUUGUUAUGAAUGACAGUAUUCUCUACGACAAUUACUUGGGAGGAGCUGUACCAAUUUUCUUUUCUGAGAUGAAGAACUUGACAUUCUUGUAAGUCAGCAUAGCAGUAUUUCGUGUCUAUUUCCAUAACCGGGUUAUUAGAAUUUUACUGCUCUUCAUAAAACGAAAGAAAUUUCUGAAUCAGGAUAAAGAAAAUCAGAUUUAUCCACAACCUAUGAGUUUCUUUCUUAGGUGGUUCUUCCAUUUUAUAUUUGCUCAUAAACAAAAAUAUAUUAUGUAGUCAAAGACAAAACUAAAUUAUUUCAUUUAGUUUCAAGCAAGAGCAUCAUUUUUUAUUAUUUUAUUUUUGUCCAAAAAAAUCCAACAAUUGUCAUAUGGUGAUAACCUUUUUUUUUUCAGCAAAACAAUAGCCAUUUUAUUGAUGUAUUAGUAAGCCUUACAAGGGAGCAUCACCUCCAAUUACAUCAGAAAGCGUCACUAGUGAGAAUUCACUAUACUACUCGAUACAAAUAUAAAUUUACUGAGAACUGCACAGACAGAGCUACUCCUACAACUAACUUUGUAAACAUUCUAAGGACAGACCCCAUUCUAGGCUGGUUGCCAAUUUUCAUGAACUCUAGGAGCUCAAGGCCAUGACACCACAGUCAAUUGAACCACUCGGAUGAUAGCUGCAAUCACUCUUGCAGUGAUACGGCUGAGUGUCGAAAUAACUUCCUAUUUCUUUCAUGCCACAAAUGCCAAACUGUUAGAGCCAAUGCUAAUCUUCUAAGUUUUACAGCAAACAAAUCAGAUCCAGCCUGUUGAAACCACCAAUCAAUCUCCUGUCUCCAAGGCAAAGAACUUCAAUAUAACAGACAUAGGCUCUGUACCUUGUCCCAAACACCACUAGAGAAAUUGCGUUCAAAGAAAAUGUGUUCUGAGGAUUCAUUUUGUUGAUCACAAUGUAUACAUUCUGGAGACACCUUAGAUAUAGCCCAUUUAAUAAGUCGAUCCUUAGUCAGCAGCUCUGUUGUAUUAUCAUCCAUAAAGAUAAAAGCAAACUUAGUUUAGGUACAAAACCUUUUUCCAUACCGAUGAGUACCCUGCUACUUCUUCCCUUGCUGAUAUAGUGUUAGCUUUAACAGAAAACUCUACUGAUGCAGAAUCAUUCCAUCUCUCAUUAUCUUCCCCAUGCAUCUGCUGCAGUAAGAAGACUGGAUUUGCACUUUUAGAAUUCUGCACCCGAGAGUUAAAUCUCCUCCCCUUUGGCGAAAGCCAGUACCAUUCUCACAAAAUCCUUGACCCUGGCCAUAGUAGAUAGUCUCAAAUCUUUAAUGAGUGUAAAUAUAAAGAAGGGGAUGCCAGUUAUCAAACCAAAAGGAUGAAUGAUCACCAUUACCAAUACCAAUACUAAUCAGAGAUUGAGCUAUAGAUCUAAGCUGCAACAGUUUCCUCCAACACCAUGAGCAAUCUCCAGAAUCUUUAUCUCCACAAGAUACAACCUUUCAGAAUGACAGAGUGAAUCUACUGUACCCAGAGAAAUUCUUUCUUUUUGCAAAUAUUCCAAAUUAACUUCAAAAUGAAACGCUUAUUCCAGUGAGUAAUGUUUUGUAUCCCCAGUCCACCUUGCUUGUUUGGUAUACAUGCAUCUGACAUUUCACCUUGGCAGCAUAAUCAGUUUUAACUUCUCCAGUCCAAAGAAAGGAGGCUUAUAGACCAUCAAAUUUCUUAAUCAUGGUUUUCGGGAAAAUGAAAACACUCAUCCAGUAUAGAUAAAUGCCACUCAGAACAGACUGAAUAAGCUGGAUCCCACCCUCAUAAGAAAGCUUAAUUGCUGCCGAAUUGUGGAUUUUCUGUUUAAUAAACAUUGGUUGACAAUCCUUGUAGCUGAGUUUAGUAGAGUUAGUGGAAAGCCCAAGUAUUUGACUAGUAAAUCAGCUCUGAGCAUUCCAAGUAAAUCACAGAAUUUAGAAGGAUCAAUUGGACUCUAUAUAUAUAUACACACACACACACACAUAAAUAAAGACUUAAAUAAAGGACUCAAAUAUAAAAGGACUCAAAUAAAGACUUAACUUAGUGGUAAAACUUAUUGGUAAAGUCGUCCAAGGUUUAAAUCUCGUCAAAAUCAUAUGUAUACAAAAUACAAAGACUCGUAUCCUUGAGAAAAAAACUAAGUUCCCGAUUGAACCAAUGGGUCAGAUGAAUUUGAUUGGAUCAAUGCUUUAUUCAGUUAAAUUAAGGACCUGGCCUGACUGCAGUUUACCACGUCUGAGUAUUUCAACCGCCGGGCCAAACCAAAUUUGAUUUUUUUUUCCAGAAACGUUAGAUAAUUUCAUUGAUAUGUUGUAAACUAUAUAAUUGUUGAGCAAAAGUCCAAAUUGACUUUACAAGUGCAUCUUGGCACUAAGAGUGUAGCCAUUCUUCAUCAAAAGAAAUGCUUAAUGCAUGCAUAAUGACUAAAUCAACCCUUUCCUCCGUUAAGUUAGUGAACAAAAUGAAUAUGAAUGAGCAUUCCGUAAAUAUUGAGCACAAAUUUCUCAUGUUCUCCAAGUGAGAGUAUAUUGCCAUGUCUUCGGAAUUACUGGUUUGGAUCAUUUUCAGCAACUGUUUCGGUUUAAUCUUGAUCUGAAUCUUCUUCCAUUCCUUAUCUCUUGCCUUACAUAAUGCUAAUUUAACAGCCACUGCUUGGUGCCUGAGUUUGUUACCAUCAGUAGCUUCUUUGAGUGCCCCCUGAGCAAUAAUUUGUUUGUUAUCAUCCUCUACUACUAUUCCAAUCCCCAUGUCCCAGCCUCCCAUCCUCCACUGUACUGCAAUCGUUAGAUGAAUGGUGUUGGCACCCUCCUUCCUCUGUACCUGUAGUUCAAUUGCUUUUGGUGUUUCCAGCAUGUUCAUUCUUUUCUCUUGAUCCUUAGUUUCUUUGUAUUCCAUCCAUUCAUUCUAUGCCUUCUAUACGAUGUUGCUGUACAUUGUUGAAAAUUCUGUCGUUUCUUGCUUUCCAAAUCUGCCACAGGAUAUUAGCUGUUAAGGCUAUGUGUUCCAUACUGUCCCUUCUACACCUGGCUUCUGUUAGUGAGCUCUACCACUUCUUAAAGUCUCCUCUCUGGUCUUCAUUUCCAUCCCAAUGUAAUGGAGCUAGAUGCCAUGUUUCUCCUCUCUAGCCAAACCAUAUUUGAUAACUAUGCUCAAAAUUGUAGUAUUCCAGUCAAAAAGAACUUUUGAAAGAGGACUCAUUAGAAAGGUAAAUUCUUUGAUAUUUCUUUUCAAACCGCUUAUGGACUUUUCCCUCAAGCUAAGUAUAACAAUUAUUGUUAGGAAUUUGGUUUAAUUUCUUUUAAGCAGGUUUUUUGUUUUGUAUGGAAAUAAAAAAUUUCUUAAUUGGUUUUAGUUAUUUGAAGUAAUAGCCAAGGAAUUUCUUAUUUUGUUUAGGAUUAUAAGUUAUUUCUAAUUCUGUACAACUCUAGAAAUUAGAAUUGAUUUCUUAUUAUUAUUGGGACCUUUGACCGGAUAAUAUUCCCUAUAAAUAAAUGAGUUAGCAUACUACACAAGGGACACUCAGAGACAUAUAAGAGGUGACAUGUAGCCUUAUACAUGGAUGAUAAGAGAGGGUUCUUAGGAAAUGAGACAUGGUAUACAAGGGUUGGAUUUGGGUUCAAGUUGUAUUCUUGUAUAGGAUUUUGUUCUCAUAAUAAAAAACAAGUUUCUCUCUGUGGAUGUAGACUCAAUGGCGAAACCGAAUCAUGUUAAAUAUUGAGUGUUAUUUAUCUUUCAUGCCUGUAGCUUGUUUAUCAUUAAAUUAUUGUAUAUUUGAUAUCUCAAUAGUUGUGUGUUUCACGUUGAAUCCUAACAAUUAUGAUACAAAAUACUCGAGAAAAAUAACAGUAACAAGUUCUUGGAUAUAAAACUCACAUUGUGUCAAUGUUUUCAAAACCGGUAAUGCCACGAAUUUUUUCUUAUAAAAGUCAUAGACACAAAAAAAAAUGAGGAAAUAUUUUUUUUCCAUUUUUCAAUCAAUUACAAUGAUAUAAUUGUUAUACAUAUAGCUAGGGUUACAACGAGCUAAGAUACAUUAAUCUAGACAAAAUUGAAAUAGUCAUUAAUCUAAUUUAAGCCCCAGUUCAUAUCUAAUUUGAAAUUCAAAGAUAUUUACAUACAUAUCUUUAACUCACUCUAACAUUUCUCCUCAUGUUGUUGCAUAUAUGUCAUAUGCUCAACUUGUUAAGUGAAUUUUAGAUGUUCAUAAUUGAUACAUCCAUAGCAAGUAUAGUGGCAAACUAAUAUUCAAUUUUCACAAAUGAAAUCCGUAUCACUUUAUCUUCAAAGUUUUGUUUAAUAAAGUGUUGAUCAACUUCGAUGUAUUUGGCCCGAUCACAUUGAACUAAAUCCAUUCCCUAUCAAAAGAUCAAGCACAUACUUUGGUUAAGAUAAAAAGAUGCCUUGCCUUGAUCUUUUCACCUCAAUGCCUAACACAUAUUUUAAGUUCCCCAAACUUUUUAACUUGAAUUCAACUGAUAAUUAGUUCUGGAGUUCAAAAUUCCCUUAUGCAUCAUUGCCUAUGGUAUUCAUGUCAACGAACAGAUUAUUAGAAUCAUCAGUUUCCCAACCCAUGCUUCAAGAUUAAGGUAGUUAUCUAUGUUGCUUUAUUGAAAGCCAUAUCUCUUUAUGGCCAAACUAAAUCAGCCAAACCAAGCACAUGACGAUUGUUUUUGUCCAUACAAAGUUCUUUGUAACUUGCACACUACAUUUGCUUAUGGGGAAGUGGUAUAUCUUGGUGGAAUAUACACCUUCUCUUUAAGACUCUAUGUAGGAAAGUAUUCUUCGCAUCAAACUGAUGCUACAACCAAUUUGAAUUGACUGCAUGAGAAAACAAGAUUCUGACAAUAUUAAAUUUUAUCACUAGUUAGAGAGUCUUCUCAUAGUUAAUGACAUAAGUUUUUGUAUAUCCCUCAGCUACAAGCUGAGCCUUAUAUCGAUUGAUUGAUUCAUCAGCAAUGUAGUGCACUGAGAAAACCCAUUUGCAUCCUGUAGUUUUCUUUUCCUCCAGUAGUGAGAUUCGAGUCCAUGUUUUAUUCUUCUACAAUGCUGACAUCUCAUUGUCUAUAGCCUGAACCUGUUUUCGAUUUACAAAUGUAUCUUGCACUCUAUUUGGAAAUUCUAUUGAGGAUACAUUACGCACAAAUGCCUCCACUAGUUCAGACAAUCUAUGAAUCGCUGCAAAUUUGGUAAUAGAAUUCCAAUUUGGUGACUUGUUACUUAUGUCUAUUAGGUAAUUACAUAUUUAACUCGUGUAUCCAAAUCAGUAGUAGAUGAAGGUAUAGUGGAAAUACUUAUUUUAGGCGUAUUCUCAUAAGAAGAAAGGCCAGACACUAAGGAAUAAGGACUUAUAUUAGCUGCAUCAUUUUCUAUACCAACCACUAUAUCAGCAUCUUGAGAGGACAUAUUAACAGUACCUUCAUGAAGACCAUCAAAAGCAUCAUUAGAGCUGGCAAUUAUAUCCAAAACCCAACAAUCCACCCAACCCACCCACUAAUUUGAGAGGUUGGAUUGGGUAAGUUGGGUUUUGGGUUAAUUUUAGGUUGGGUAAUAAAAAUCCAUAUAUAUUUUGGGCGGUUUGAAUAUUUAUGUUGGCCACCCAUUGCCCAACUUAAAUUAAAAAAAACAAAUAAACAAGUUAAUUUAGAGCGGUAUCCGACCUGCCCCGUUGAGGGUAAUUUAGAGCGGUUCAGAGGAUGAGCCCAUUGAAACAUGAUGUGACAUAGGCUUUUUUUAUUUUAUUAUUUUUUUUACUAUGUGACGUAGCUUCAAUUGCUUGGUUCUGAGCAAUAUGUUGAGCUUCUUUAUUUAUUUGUUUCUACGUUAUUGUUUUCCAUUUUGGCCAAAAGCUUGUUUAACUUUCCAAUAUGCUCUGCCAAUGACAAAUAUUUAAGAUGAUGAAUCCACUUAAAAUACAAUGCUCUGUUUCGAUUGCUGAGGUUGUUCGAGUCCUGCCAUGGAUGAAUAGGAGCUUUGAUUAUCUUAAUUAGCAGGAUUUCAUUAGCCAAACAUUGAUUUUUGUGGUUAGUAAUUACAAUUCCUCAACUGGAAUCAUAUAAUUAAAAACUAGCAUUACCCGACUUGCCUCACACAUAUAUAUAUUUUUUAUUUUUUUUAUUUUUAUACACAUACUAUAAAAUAAUAAUUUAGAGCUAAAGAAGUAAUUUCGUUGAACAAAUUACAUUAAAAAUAUGAGAGACUAUAGUUUAUUUACAAGAUUCAUUUAUGGGUCAAAAUUUCAGUUUAUAACUUUUUUAAAAUGUGAUUGGGUCCAAGUAGAUUAAACAGUUAGUAUGUGUGUGUAUUUGUGAAAGUAUAUUAGUGUGUAUUUUAGUGUGUUUGUAUGUGUAAAAAUAAUGUAUUUCAAAAGAACUUAAAAAGUGAGUGUGCGCUUGCAUCUGUAAGUGUUUUAGUGUGUGAAAAUAUAUUUAUGUGUGUGAUUUUUUUUUUUUUUUUUGUAUAUGAAAAUAUAUUUGAGAGAGUUUAUGUAUCAAAAUCUAUUAUUUAAUAUAUUGGAUCAUGGGUUUGAAAUAAUCCAAUAUGACCCAAUCCAACAUUAAUCCAAUCUAAAGUUGGGCGGGUUGGGUGUAACCCAUUUAAAUGAAAACCCAACAUUAACCCGCCCAAAACCCGCCCAACCCGCCCAAUUGCCAGGCAUAAGCAUCAUAAAACCUAGAAGCCUUGCCACCAUUAGUCACGAGUAAAUUGGUCAUGUCAUCAUUGGGCAUUACCAAAUCACGAUACUUGGCCAUGCCAAUCUCAGCCAAUUUUGCUCUUCAAUUAUCCUGUAUCUCCUGAACUGAAGAAUUGGAUAGUAAUGAUAAUAAAAUCUCUGCUUUUAGAAAAAUACUCCCUCUAUGCUAGGAAGUUUGUUACUUUUUGGGAAGUGAACUAUUUAAGAAUAUUAGCCAAAUAGAAGAAGUAGGCUUUCAAACUUCAUAUAUUAGCCAACAUAUUCAUAACGGUAGCUUGGAGGGCAAAAUGAGAAGAUGGACAAAAAAUCAUUUGUUAUUUUUGGUAAGUCACACAAAUUUUGGAACAAACUAAAAAGGAAUCGAUGACAGUAUUAAUAGGACGGAGAAAGUACCAUAUCUUAGUAAUAGGAUCAUCGCACAAAUAACCCUUCUUAUGCACAGCAUAUCUUAAGAAGACAUAUCAAACUGUACAAGAAUCCAAUUUAGUGCCUUGAUUCUUGUGUAGAUGAACAAAAGCCACAUAAUUGAACAUUUGUUGUGGAAUUAGUAAGAUCGGUAAGGCAAAAUGAUUAGAAGGACUUGCAAUGGAGUCUGAAUGUCUACGACUUUUUAAUGGAUCCUAUUUAGCAAAUGUAUCAUUAUGGUGAUUGUAUCCAUCUAAUAUUGGCACAAAACAUUUACCCCAAUCAGUUGAGCAUGUGCUAUUUCUGGUACAUGAAGAUUUUUAUCAACAACCCCAUUCUACUGUAGAUUUUGAGUACAAGAAAUUUCAUGAAUAAGGCUAUUAGACUUGAAGCAAUCUUAAAAUGGUCAGUAAUCAUACUUACCACCAUUAUCAAAGCAUAAAAGCUUGAUUGUAGCUAAAAAUUAUGUUUGAAUUAUUAGUUGAAAUGAUUUGAAAACAUCAAAUACUUCAUUUUUAUGCUUCAACAAAUACAACUAAAUCAUUCUAGCACAAUUAUUCACAAAAGGUAACAAACCAAGGAAUACCAGUGAAUGAAAAAUUAGUGAGGGCCCCCAUACAUUACUAUGUCAUAAAGCAAUUGGAGCAAAAUUUUUAUUUAAAUUUAUUGGAUAAGGACCCAUAUAACUCUUGGUUAGUGUCACACUUCAAAAGUACAACAUGUGGAGAAGACUAUAAAUCAAUCAAAAAGUUGUCUUGUACAACCAAAUGAUCGGUAUCUUAGCCAUGGAUACUAUAACUAGAUAUCUCGCUCUUCAGAAUUUUUUGUGUUCACAUCUGAUUUGCUCUUCAUAGACUAAAAUUAUCCAACAUAACAUAAAUACUCGCUCUUAGUGGCCAAUGAUUCUUGAUUUGAUAUGAAUAUCCUGAAGAAGAAAGAAAACUGUAUAUAAUAGUGCUACACAAUUAAGACUAACCAUGAUUGAGCUACAUAUAGCGACUUAUUUGAGGAAAAUAAAACUGAAAAGGUAUCAGGAAAAGAAAGAAUUACAAUAGAACAACAUUUCCAACCCUUCUAAUUGGAUAUGUGACACCAUUGGAGAGAUCAUCGACUAUCUCAACUAAAUGACAUAGGAAAAAUCAUUGGAAUUACAGGUCAUGUGAUUAGUAGUCUCUAAAUCGAUAAUCGAUUUGCUAUCAUGGUGAUUAGAGCUACGAUUAUCUUUAAUUAUUAAUUACAAAUUGUUGGGGUUGUAUUAGCAAAAUUGGAAGAAGGCACUAAGCAAUGUGGCCAGCCAUGAGAGAUGCCACCGGAUUGAUAGUUGCUAUGUCCACUCUACUAAAGUUUCUAGUUUGGUUAGCAGCAUUCAACCAAUCAGCUUGUCAAGUCCAUCUUUUAUGCACCUUCUACCAAUCUGGAUAUUCAUGCAACUUGAACCAAGUAUCAUAUGUAUAUUUUUUCUCUCCUGUAAUGAGCACAACCAUUUCCAUCGAUUUGCACCUUAGUUUGAGAUGACAUAACCGGUCGCUUAUUAGUCCCUUUGAAAGCUAUGACACUGCUGAUUGUGUUGUCUUCCCUUGUUAACAUCAUCGAUUCUUUAGUAUUUUCACGUCGAACAUAGGCAUAUGUUUUGUUCUAUUUAUUUAUUUUUAACUCAAAGACAAAAUGUUGUUGCCAAGCUUUCCCAUUGCUGUGUAGUGUUAAUGCUUCACUCACAUUCUACAAAGGGAAAAACAAUGGCCAUAUGGUGGUGUGCAACUGUAUUGCAAGUACAGCGUAGAGUCCUUUUUCUACAUCUUAUGUGCUAAUUGUUUUUAUUUAUCAAUUUGGAGCUGCAGAGAUUUAAGGGAUAAUUUUUUCAAUGGGUCAAUUCCACGUGAAUUUGGUACCUCUCCAGCCCUUGAGCUUCUGUGAGUAUCUUGUUUUUCAUUCAAUAACCAAGUAAUUUUUGUUUAUGUAAAAAUAUAAGGAAAAUGCUAUACUAUACGACGUAUGACUUGCAUGAAACUUCUUUGAUUUUAGAGAUUUCUAUAUUUGUAUAUAUCGCUUUGUCAUGUCAUGAUUUUCAAUCCAUUUUUAUAGGUGGACUCAAAAUAUAAUCCUGAGUCCUGACCUAGUGCUUAAAAAAAAUAAUCGUGACCUAGCAAGAUAUAUAUCAUGUAAUUUUUCUUUUUGCACUUCCAGGUACCUGGAUGAUAACUUUUUAUGUGAGGGUAUCCCCGAUGAAUUAGCCAACAUCUCAAGUCUCACAUAUCUGUAUGACCUUACAGCUUCAUCUUUCAUUUUUUUUUGGUUUUAACUAUUUGGGGUGAUUGGCUUUUCUAAAGUCUUUUCAUAUCAUGAUAUUUUAUAGGUCUUUCACUAAUAAUCAACUUUCGGGUCAGCUUCCACAACAAUUGGGAAACCUCAGUAAUCUUGACAGCCUGUAAGAUUUAUAUAUGUGGUUUCACAGUAUAAUCUCCACAUUAUGUUACUUCAGCAUGUCAGUGGAAAUUAUUUGAAAGAGAUUAGCGGUGGCAGAUGAUUUUCUUGUGCCCCUCUUACUUACACAAUUUGUUAAAAUAAAUGCUAAUUGUACUUCUUCAGUCUAAAUUGGAGAUUUUGGGGACUGGAUUUAUUCUCUUGGUCAAAAGUCUGGGCAAUGUUUGUUUGAAACAUUUUAGGAUCAUUUUGGCAAAAACUGGAAAAAAAAUUUAAGGAAAAGAUUUAUUUACAUCCAAACUUUGCAAACUUCUAAUAUAAUGUGCGAACUUUGAGAACCGAACUGGUGCAAUUCUUCCUUAUUGCAACUUUGAUGUCUACUUUGGUCCGUGUUCAACAACAAUUUAGGGAUCAAAGUUAAUGUGGUACUUCCUUUUGUUUAUUUGAUUGUCUAAGAAUUGUCCGAUUCUUACUCCGGAAACUCUAUAUUUUCAGGUACCUAGAGAACAAUUUAUUCAGUGGUAAAUUGCCUCCAAGCUUGGAAUCACUGAAAAAUUUAGUCAUCUUGUAAGUUUGUUCUUACGUCACAUGCAUGUAGAUAUAUCUCACGUGUAAAUUCUAUACGAUUCAAUAACUUUCUAGAACAUAUGCAGGUUUUUUGUAUGCAAGUAGGAUUCAUAUAUUAUGUUAGACUUUUGGUUUUACAUCUUUUGUUACACCUUAUAUUAGGGAGACUGUACAACAGGAUGUGUAACACCAAACAAUAACGGAUAAAAAUUGCCAUGCAACCAUAUAUAUAUAUAUAUAUAUAUAUAUAUAUGUAUGUAUAUAUCUAUAUUGUUUCACCAUGAAGUUUCUUCUGUAGCAUUAUUCAAGGAAAUGACUUCAGUGGAAGGAUUCCGGACUUCAUCUCAAAGUGGCAAAAUCUCCAAGAAUUGUAAGCCUAAGUAGCUAACUAAGAUAAGCUAAAACGAGGUUUAUGUGCAAUAUCUGAAAUCUUUUACUGUUGUAGAGAUCUACGAGGAAAUAAUUUUGAGGCGCCUAUACCAGAUGCAAUGUCAAAUUUGUCAAAACUGAAAAAACUGUAAUUCUUUACCCUGCUAAACUUUUUCAUUCAUUUUUUAAUAUUUAAUCUAAAAGAAACAUUGACAUUUACCAGCCUUGAACUUUUUCCAUUUCUUGGAUUUUAUGCAGUUCCAUGAAUGACAUGGUUGGAGCAGACAAACCUUUGUUUCCCAGAAUACAAAAUUAUGGUUCAUUGCAGUUAUUGUAGGUUAUCUAGUAUCCACCAAUUUGUCCUUGCGUGAUUCAUUUGCUUAUGAUUUCUCUAUUAAUUUCCUUAUUUCGUGAAAAUCUAAUUCUUUCCAGGACAUUGAGGAACUGUUCACUCACUGGUCCAAUUCCUGAUCAUAUCUGGAAGUUGAAAUCCUUGACUUACCUGUAAGACCCCAAACCAUAAUUAAUUCAUUAUGACUCGUUUCCAUCGAUGUAGAAUAUUGCCAUUUAAAUAUUUGUGGAACUUUACAUUCUUCCCAUCUUCUUGCCCUUUCUUUUGAAACAACAGGACACAUGAAUGCAGGUUGUAGUUUCCUUAUUUCCAAUAUCAAUAUUAUGCUAGUUCUAAAUUUGCCGUUUGCCUUCUAUACAUAUCAAAGAUAAAUGGCUUGCAUUUUUAUACUUUACUUCGUGUUUUACUGUUGUAGGGACUUGAGUUUCAACAGUUUGGUUGGAGGAAUUCCACCAGAAGUGGAUUUGCCAAACAUACAGCACAUGUAUGGAUCUUUUUCUCUAAGUUCCUUAUUAAUUUAUCUAUUUUUUAUAUAUCAAGAAGCCCAUAUUCUUCCUAUUUCACUCCCUCGUUUCAUCGUUUAUUGCAAUCUCCGCAUGUCUUUCAUUCAACACAUAUAUACAAUUUUUUUUCAACAGAGUUAUUGUAGCAUGUGUUUAUUAGGGCCUUCUAGCAUAUCUUUAUCUGUUCAAGCUUAAUGACUUCAUUAUGCUUCUUUAAUAUUAAGAACUGAAUUAUUUCUUUUCCUAGCAUGAAUAAUUCAAUUGGAUCAACUAGUCUCAAUUUCAACCAUAAGGGGGAAAAGCUCUUAAUUUGUUGGUUAAGUUUUCUUACUUUCUACUGUCUAGCACUCAUAUAUGUAAUUCUGUCAUAACAUUACGCUUACUAGCAUCUAUCCAUGGUGCAAGCCUCUCUAGGUUUUCAAAAUUUACUAUCAAUCUACCUACGUUUUACUUCUUCUGCUCUGCUUAUCUUUUCAAAUUACCUAUCUUUAUUUUUUUGCCAAUUAAUAGAAUCAAAAGUAAGCAAACUAUUGUGAAUUCGUUUUCUUCAGUUUUAAUUCCUAUAGUACUGGUUCUGUGUAGGAUUUGGUUACAUGCUGAUGGUAGAAUUAUGUCGCUACACGGUAUAUUAUGACAAUUUCCUCCAGGACUUAAAAAGCCGCAAUACAAUUUUCCUAUUGCAAUAUAAAAAAAUUCUUCCAAAAACAAUUUUGAAUAAUUUUAGUUGAUGCUUUGAAGGCCCAAGUUCAAUAUUUGUCUUUUCAUCUUCUGCAAAUUUUUCCAUAUAAGACCCUCAAACAAUAACAUCACUAAUUACUAUUGUAUCUUACAGUUGAGUUCUAACGAUAAUAGACUGUAUAUGGAAUACAAAUAAAUGCUUCAGUUAACAAAAUCCUUUCUUAUUUCCAAGAAAUCAAUGCGGUAAAAUAAGUGGUUAGAGGUCCUCAAUUAUCGUUUCACACUGAUGGCGACAAUUGUUGAUGCCAAAACUGGCUCAACUAUUAAUGGCGAAAGUUAUCCAAUUCAUUUGCUUGAAUAUGACCUGUAAAAAAUGAUAGAGAUUUUGUUCCUUGCAAAAACUCGAUGCUUGAAUCAGUACUUGAUUAAAUGCAAAACAAAACUAACCUCCUCUUUGAUGAUGUGUUGAGAUGGAUGUUAAUGGGCCAUUUAUACUUGUGGGCUUGGAACCUUUUCUGAGCCAAAAUCUCUUUCUCAGGGCUGGGGCUCUGAUGUCCUAUUUCAAGGUUUGUUAGAAUAAUAUUGGUCCCAACAAUAAUGAUCAUAAUGAUGAUAAUUUCUAGGAUUAUUGCAAAUGAAAUGGAUUGUUUAUUUGUUUAUUAACAUUCGAUAAGAUCUAUACUAUCCUACUCUAGGAGAGAAGGAAUUUAAUUGGGUUGUAUAAAGAGUUAGAGAAAAAGCAGGACCAUUUAGACCAAAAGAGUGGUCUGGCACGCUGUUUAAUUUUUUUUAAUUGCAUAAUACGAGAUUUGAACUUCUUGACCUACGUAUCAAGGAGAGGUUUUUAAUUCUUUUUGUUAAUGAACUUGUAUAAGACAAGUUGGUUUUCUAGAAGAAAAGUCAAUGGUAGUUGAUUCUUGAAAAUCUAAGCCGAAAGUGCGUACGGAGUUUUGAGCAAAGGGUCUGGAACUAGGAAGGUGAUUGAGAGCAUGGUUUUGAGGCCUCAUCAUUUGAAGUGUACAUAUAUAUAUAUAUAUAUAUAUAUAUAUAUAUAUGUGUGUGUGUGUGUAUCUUGACUUCUAGACAAAUUCUGGUUUGUCUUUGGUGAGUGUUACCUAAGUUUUGAUUUAUAUAAAUAACAAUCGAAAAGCUUAACUACAUCACUUAACAGCAGCAAAGUUACAAUCUGCAUAACUUUCUAAUUCGACCAUGUUGUCAAGCUAUUAAUUCAUAUCAAUUUCCUGGCCACUUCAAUUUGCAGAACCUUUUAAGCACGAUAGUGCUUCAAUGAUUACCAUAGCAUAGUAUGGCAUACAUUUGGAUUUCUUAGUUGAUUCGUAAUUGCUGGUUAUACUUUCGCAAGUGCAACUAAGCCAGUGAGAAAUGAGUAGUAGUAUACAUUUUGGUUGUUAUGGUAUCAAACUGGUUCUAAUAAAAGCAUUUCUUGAUGGUGUUUGACAGAUUUCUUAGAAGAAAUAACCUGAAUGGGUCUCUCCCUGUGUGGCUGACAGAAUUGAAGAAUAUAUAUGUGUAUGUACUUGUUUCCUGAAGUCAAAUUCUUCUCGGCACUAGACAUGAAAGAGGCCACUUUAUCUUAAACAGAAUGUUAAACAAAUGUUUGUUUAUUGUUUUUGUUCCAAUAGUCAUGGUAAAGGUAUAUACCAUCCUUCUCAGAUGAUAGCCAAAUACUUUUUUAUUGAAUCAUAGAAGCGCAUGAGGACCUUAAGCCUUUACUUUCCUGACACAUGACUUCAUCAAAAAGUUAUAACAGCUCUUGAAUGUAGUGGAAUAUAUUCAUUUUCUUCAAUAGUGCUGAAGAAUUGCAAAAUCGAGCGAAACUAAUAAAGCGCCAAGUAUCUUGAAAAAAGAAAAAAAGUUUCAUGCUUAUUUUCUUUGCACAAAUUUUUUAAGUCAGGGAAAACGGAUCAUUGGAGGAGCAUCAUGACCGGUGAAAUUCUCUACAUUUGUAUCUUCUGUCAGAUUCCAUAUAUUCUUUUGCUUGGAAUGAAGUUUCUAAACAUGCGAAUUUGUUUCACCUCUUUGUAGGUUUGAAGUUAAUAUAGCAAUCUUUAAUGUACUCUUGUAGUGAUCAUCAAACAUUUGCAGGGAUGUUUCCGAAAAUUCUUUCACAAACGUGACAAUACCUAAAGAUGCCUUUUCUCCGAGAAAGUGAGAUAAACUAACCCAUAUGAUUUUUCUCGUACACUUAUCAACACUCACGUACAUGUUUAUGUAACAUUCUUUGCUCACUCUACUUUGUGUUAGUUUUCAGUAGAUUUCAUUUUUUUUCCAGGAACUUUUUUGCUUGCUGUUCUAAAGUAAACACUGAGUAAGUUGUUGCCUUCUCAUUUCAUUUCUUUUUUGCUCAAGAAAAUUUGACGUAGAUAACCUUUCAUGUGUCUUCCUAUACAGGGGUAUGAAUUGGCUUGAAACUAAUUAUUCUUGUGGCAAUAGCUCAAAGAGAUGUAAGUUCAUCAAUUUUUUUUCCCGAGAGCACAAUAAACACUUUCUUGACCUAUUUUGAUGGUAGAAUUUAAAUUACAAGCAAAAAUGUGGUAUUAACAAAGCGAAUUCCCACCCUGUAGGCCUUUUGUCAAAGCAAUAUUAAUACUUCUAGUGGUGCCCUCGGCAAGAAAGUAAGGAAUGCAACUAAUGAAACUGUCAAUUUAAAAAAUGCAUUGAUCUUUCCUACAUUGACAGUUUAGGCAUUUCUUAACCUUUUCUUGCAUGCAUAAAUGCUUAAUUGGUCUCGGAUGGUAUGACAUCAAACAUGAACUUAAUUGAUCAUAAACAAACAGACAUAAUGUCUCUAAUGGUUUACAACACUACUUGAGCUUGCUAAGUGCGCAUGAUAUUUCUACAUGAUAUUUUAAUUGAUCAUUAAAAUAUCAGUAAUAACCAUGAUAUUUGUACAGAUGAACAUUUGUACAUCAACUGUGGAGGAAAUGCAGAAACAAUAAAUGGAAGCAUCUAUGAAGCUGAUCUUGAUCCAAAUGGAGAAUCAAGGUUCUAUCUGAGCAGUAAUGGAGCCUGGGGAUUCAGUAGUAUGGGAAUCGUUGAUUUUAAAAACCAGAAGUACACACUAAACAAGCAGUGCAAUAUUUCCUUAGUUGAUGCGCCUUUAUACAUGGAUGCGCGCGUAUCUUCAAUUUCAUUGAAGUAUUAUGCAUUUUGUUUAAAGAACAACCAAUACAUGGUGAGACUUCACUUUGCUGAAAUAGGCUUGGAUACGCCUAAAAAUCCUAGGAUCAAGAGAAGUAGAGUUUUUGAUGUAGAAAUCCAGGUAAAUAGUCUAUUCAAGUACAAAAGAACUGAAAGUUUACAAACCAGAGAUUUUACUAACCAAGAUUAAUUGUACUACAGGGCAAGAAAAAAGAGAAAAAUUUCAAUAUCGAAGCUGUUGCAGGGGGUGUGAAUUUGAACGCAACCCUGGAAUAUAAUGACGUUGAUGUUCGUGACAACCGAUUGGAGAUUCACUUGUAUUGGUCCGGAAAAGGUUCACCUUUCGGACGUUACCGUGGUCCCCUAAUAUCAGCUAUUUCCAUAUCUCCCGGUAUUUGUUAUUUUCUUCUUUGUAUAUCGUACACUUUUUUUUUCUUCGUCUUGUGCUUUCCAGGAUGUGCAAUGUCUUGCUUUUCUGACUGAUCUUUUGGUAUUUUUUACUGGAAUAGUUCCUAAAAGGCAUCUGAAACUUUCUUCUGCAAUCAUCGUUGGAAUUGUUGUAUCUUCAAUACUUGCUGUUAUAUUAAUCUUAGCUCUCUUCUGGAAGUUCGGCUGGCUUGGUGGAAAAAAUAAUAAGAAUGUCGGUAGGUUUAUCAUUGUGGCACAAAGCUGAAAUUUAGUAGAAUAAACUAUAAUUCUAUGAGCAUAUCAUUUGGCUCAAAAGCUAUUUCCUUUCCAUUGUUAUGCUUGAGACAGAACAAAAAGGUAUCGAGCUAUUCCCUGGAGGGGUUUUGAACUUCCAACAAAUAAAAGCAGGUACUAAUAGUUUUGAUCCUAAGAACAAGAUAGGCCAAGGAGGUUUCGGGGAUGUCUACAAGGUACGGUAUAUGCAUCAAAAUGAUCUUAACUAGUCAGCUUUCAAUCACUUUAUCAUUGAUAUAAUGUCUCGGUUUUUUUCCCGGUGGUCUGUUUAUUCAGGGUGUGCUACGAAAUGGGACUAUAGUAGCUGUAAAAAAGCUUUCAGCAAAGUCCAAACAAGGAGCCAAGGAAUUUAUAAAUGAAAUUGGUACUAGCUAUGCUUUGCAACACCCAAAUCUCGUAAGGCUAUUGGGAUGUUGUGCUGAACAAAGCGAACUUCUAAUUGUCUAUGAGUACAUGGAAAAUAAUUCUCUUGAGCAGGCAUUAUUUGGUAAACAAGACAUUUUCUUUGUACAUGCAACACGUUUAAAAUCUCUGUAAAAUUGCAGCAUAUGAAGUCUCUUAACUCGCUGGCAUCUGCAGGUUCGGCAGAAGUCAAAUCCAGACUAAAUUGGCUGAUAAGAGUUAAAAUUUGCCGUGAUGUUGCGAAGGGGUUGGCUUAUAUCCAUGAAGAAUCUAGACUUCGAAUUGUUCACAGAGACAUAAAACCGACAAACAUACUUCUUGACAAGGAUUUUACUGCCAAGAUAACAGAUUUUGGAUUUGCCAAGCACAGCAAAGAGGAGAAUCCUCAUGCGAUUACACGCAUAGCAGGAACAAAGCACGGCAAAGAGGAGAAUCCUCAUGCUAUUACACGCAUAGCAGGAACAAAGUAAUCCAACAAGUUCUCCAGUACAAUCUGAGAUAAGAAAUUAUUUCUGCAUUUUUAAAUUCUUGUGAUGAUUGCCUCUUAACAUGAAAGACAUCUGCAGGGGGUACAUGUCACCUGAGUAUUUGCAAGGCUUCUUGUCAACGAAAGCAGAUGUCUACAGCUUUGGCCUUGUCACACUAGAAAUUGUUAGCGGGAAGCAAAUUUCAACUUUUAGGGCAAAGGAUCAGAAUAUUUACCUUUUGGAUAUAGUAAGGCAGCUGCAAAAUACAAAUCAACAUAGACACAUACAAUUAAAUUGAUUUUUUUCCACCUUGUAUUGAUAGCUAUUGCUUGGGCUUGUCUACACUUUUCAGGCUUAUGAUUACCAACACCAAGGAAAUCUUAUAGCUCUUGUUGAUUCAAGCCUAGGAUCUGAUUACACCCACAACGAAGCGCUAAAAGUGUUGGAUUUAGCAAUGGAGUGCGUGAACCCAACUCCCAAGCUUAGGCCAUCAAUGUCUAAAGUUGUGAAAGUUCUUGAAGGAAUUGUAAAAGAUGUAGAAGCAAAAUGGAAAACAAAGACUUCCUCUACUGGAAAAACUUCUUUGGGGGAUGAUUCUUCGAUGGCCAACCCCGAUUUUGCUUUCUCUCAUUCUACUCAAUCAGCUGGGAGUACAUCCCAAGAAGGUGCUUCAGAUAUAAUCAUUUGUCCUUCAACAAGCAAAGAAAUUGACGACUCCAGCAACUCGGACGAUUAACAUGCCAAGGCUGGAAAUUAACCAGGAAUCACUACCAUGGUAGUCUUCCCUUGAGCAUUGAUAAUCCUAAUUUUUGUGAAUGACAGCAUUCAUCAUGCAUUAUUGCAUUGAAGUGUCUCUGCAGUUAGCAGAUUAUAGUAUUUAAGCUACUAAACAAGCCUUCAUAAAAGAUAUUGGCUCAUCUAUGCGUGGAAAUGAUGCAAAUUAUUGUAUGCUAUCUCAAGUAUAGCCAAUAUUAAUGCAAAUUCAUGUCUAUUGGAAGUAAUUUGCAGUUUUUUCAAGUAGUUAUGGUGAUUAAAGAACAUGGUUACCAGAAACUAGCCUCCUUCGCAUAAGACUUCACACAGCUACUGAGCAAGUUGCAUAAAUUUCAGCAUUUCAACACUUCAUUUAGAUGGGAACAAAUGUUAAGCUACAUUAUCUCAUGCGCUAAACGUCUUCUUCUUCUUCUUCUUUUUUUAGUUCUUCCUUUUUUAACUAUAAAAAACAAAGGCCAAAUUUUCUUUCGUUCAUCUUAGAGAUAUAGGAUAUGUGGCAUUAUGUUAAGUUGGUAUAGAUGGCUAACGAAAAGAAUUUAAAGCUGGACAUUUUGCCGCUUGGAGGGGGUUUCAGCAUAGGAGCGACGUCCCUGAAAUUAGAUGGAUUUGAAUUUUGUUGGUAAGCCUUUUCUCACAUGCUAUCCAGAGAGUGCAUAACUUGGUAUAUGGUACUUUUCUCCUACUAGCCUCUGCCAAAAUACAAUUUUGUUGAAGACACCUUAUUUUAGCUUAAAGUGUAGGUAGGAGUUCUUGACCUCAGAAGCGCUUACUUUUAUUUCAUCUCCCAUAUCAUUCAACUCAUCCUUCCCCCAAUUUGGAACCACUACGAGAAAUUUGGCCUUUUGUAACAAUAUUCUCAGUGACAACAGAGAAACUUGUCAUAAUUGAGAAAAUUCAAUGACAACUUUUGAUGUCGUCAUAGUUGCACGGGGCUACACUUGUCAACAGUGACAACACGAGAUAAGUCGUCAUAAUAUGGAUGACGCACAACUAGCCAGUGUGGCGGGAGAGCACCAUUGUGACAACCGGCAAAUAGGUUGUCGCUGAAAUAGGUCCUAUAAUGACAACUCAAAAUGUCAUCACAACAUAGUUGCCGGUUCAAAAUUAGUAACAACAACUACCCGUUACUGUCCAAAGUAUUUGUUCCUAAUUCACUUUCACUAAUUCUACUAUGUCACUCUAAUUUUUUCAAUGUGACCCAUAUGUUGUAAAUAAAUUUUAUUAAUUCUACUUUGACAGUGUAACUUUUACAAUUGAACCCCGUAUGUGGUAAUUAAUCUAAUUAAUUUUACCAUGACACCUUAUAUUUUACAAUUUAGGUUCGCAUUGUGACGAUUUGUCACUGAAAUAGUGUGACGCCCCCACUUCUCCCAAGGAUGAACCCAAGGGUAUUGGCGGGACGCCUGCCCAACUCUCGCCAGGACUCGGUACAAUCCAUAAUUCAAAACUAGGAAUACUUCAAUUAACUUCAAUAUAUAAAUUUAAAGUACUCCAAAACACUUCAUACUUACAAUAGUCAGCUCUCAAGUUUAAUACAACCCAAAAGAAUAUUUACUACAGCCAUCUGCUGUAGUACAACUUAAAGUUUUCAAAAGAAAACAAUUUAGUACUAUUCACGAGCACCCUUGGUCUUGAAUCUUAUUAAGGAAAACAAAAAUGUGGAAUGAGCUACACAGCCCAGUGAGGUUCCAAGACACUCUAGCAGUUCUAAUAGAUCAAUUAAUUUGAGCAUACCACAUACAUGGUUCAAGGUUGCAUAUUGAUCACCUUAACAUGAGAUAGUCAUCAUUGUACGAGUACUUUGAGCAUAACAUAAGCAUGGUUCAAGAUUGCACCUUAGCACAUUAGCAUGAUACAGUUAUCAUUGUACGAGUAAUUUGAGCAUAUCACAGGUAUAGCUUAGGGUCGCACGUUGGCACAUUAGCAUGAAACAGUUAUCAUUAUGUAAAAUAAACACACAUUGAAGGAUACGGUGUUCCAGUGGAACCAUUUCGGUCAACUGUACCUUAUAACUUCAGAAUCCCCUCGAUUUGUCUGGCCAUCACCUUAUCCCUCUAGUGGUAGUACUCGAAUAUACCGAAACGGUGGCCCAGGGUUCCAACCUACCCGACCGAGCCCAAUCCUGGAUCGUGUAGGUUAGUAACCAAGGGCAGGGCCCAAUUCAACUUAGAACUUACAACAUGCACAAGUAAUCAAAUAAAUCGGUAAACGGUAAACGGUAAAAAUUUAUCAUUUUAAUAGAUCGAGUGAGAUAAAGUACACACUCGCCUUAACAUGGUGGAUAAUUUCAUAUGAGCAAUUAUUAGUAACAUUUAACACAUAAACACGUAAGCAAUAUACGAUAAUUUCAUAUGAGCAUAUAAUUUACGGUAAUCAAGUAAUCAAGUAGUAAGGUAAUCAAGUAAGCAGGUAAUCACGUUGGUAGGUAAUCAAGUAGGUUGGUAAAUGGUAAAUAAUUAUGGUUAACGGUUAACAGUUUACGGUAAGUAAUUACGGUUAAUUGGCAGAUAUUUGCCAUUUUAAUAGGCCGCCAUUGGCCAUUUCCCACUUUUACCACUUAAGAGUCGAGAAGAUUCACUCCAAUCGACUUAUGCAGCCAUAGCAUAAUUAAUCAUUGCAACACUUUACGUAAAUAUGCAUUUUAAGUAUUUCAUGUCGAGUAAUUCAAAUAUACUUUACUUAAAUAUGCAUGAGUGUGGUAAAUACUUGACAUGUAACAUUUAACACUUAAUGAUCAUGAAAUAAGCAUGUCAUAAACUUAUUCAAAUUACGUACUCCUAUAUGGGAUACUCACCUAGUCAAAACAAGUGAGUAAGCGCCCAAACAAGUGUUUAGGCGUCCGCUCCGAGUCCCUCUUGAAGGUCCCCUUGAGCGCCUGAGCAAGUAAUAAUUAACUUUACUUAAAAUCAUGCAUUUACCCAGAAGGAUGCACACUCAAUUAGACUAAAUCAAAGCCUUAAAAGAAAGCUUCAAUUCUCUCUACUCGAGGUUCAAGAGUGGAGUUUUAAAGUUCGAAGAGAGUCUAACAUCGUUCAUGAAAUCGAGUUCAAAACGUUCAAUCUAUAUCGAGAAAAGAAGUCAAGGUUCCAAAAUUACAUUUUCUAAGAAAUUGGCAAAUUUCAGCUUUGGAUGUCAAACUUAGAAAAAUCAUAUCUUGCACUCAAUAGGUCCAAAAAUGGAAAACUUAGUACCGUUGGAAACUAGUUCCGAAGUACUAAAAGUUCCUAAAACACUUUUCUAAGAUUCAAAAUAGAAGACACUCAAAUUUUAGCUUAAAGUGGCUGACUUGGACUCCCAAGACAGAUUCGGGUUGGUUUUUGGCAAACUUUGAAAAUUCGGCAAAAUUCACACAAUACGAACUAGCCUCCAAAAUUUGGAACUCAAUUAGAGUUGCAAUCAAAGUUUAAAACAAAACAAACGGAACAAGAAUUGAAGUUUUAAGUGCCAAGAUAUAGCAGCCCAAAAUUGAUCAAAAAUUCCUCCUUGAUCAAGAAUUUCCAAAUUUGAAACAUGAAUUUUGGGACUUCAGCUGGACAUUGAAAUAGACUCAGAAUGGCACAAAAUUUGGUAGUAUUACUCUACAAUAUAAGGGCUAUUCAUCUGUCAAAUUUCAUAUAAAAAUUCAUUCGAGAAGUCGGUUAACAAAGCCACUAAAAUUCCAAGAAUUUCCAAGGUAAUUUCCAAGCCACUUCAAUUUUCUUUUUUUUUUUAAAAGCUUUGUUCCACACAAUCAACUUCAAUUAAUUCAAAUAUUGAGACCUUGUUCCAUAAACAUCCAAUAAGAAAUUUAUAAGUACUUGACAUCAAGGUUUUCGAAAUAUAACUUCUCAAAUCAGAUUUGACCAUUUGGCCAAGAGAAAAGGAAAAUUUUCCAGAUUCGAAGAGCAAUUUUGGGACAUCAUUUGUAUAUUGAAAUGGUCUUAGAUUGACACCAAAAUUGGUACAAUUUAACUUCCAUAUGAGGACUACUCCUCUACCAAAUUUCAUUUGAAAAUUCACACGGGAAGGUAGUGAACUAAACUACCAAAUUUCAAGAAAAUCCCAAGACCAAUCUGUCAUUUGCUUCCUUCUUCCUUUUCAAAUAUUUUGCCCAAUGAAAAUGAUUCAAAUCUAGCCCAUUUAUGAAACAAAGGUCUAAGAAAUAUCCAAAAUACAUUUGGUAGGUGAUUAACACCAAGAAUUUCAAGAUCACAAGUCCCAAUUCAAAAAGAGUCAUUCAACUAGCCAAAAAGAGGGUUUUCAACCACUGAAUCAGUUUCGAACUUUGGCCACAACUCACUCAAUUCAACUUGAAAUUAAGCAUGGUUGGUGGCAUUGAAACCUAGAUUCAUAAAGAUAAAAUUUCUUAGAAGAAAUCAUUUUCAAAAUCUAUCCACAGCUAGCUCAUAUUUGAGCAUCACUUCGCUGCUCAAAACAGAGCUCCCAGUGUAGACGCGAAAUAGGACAGUCAUGUUCAAACGAUUGGUAUGGACUAUUCAGGUCAAACCAGGACAUGAAUUUUAUACUGUUGAAAAACUGGGAAUGUCUAGUUUGCAAUGCCACAAACGGCACUUGAUUUCGACAUCGUAGCAAAAAGUUAUAGCCGUUUGAAGAACACUGCCAGAGCAGUUACGGGAAAAUUUCCAGUUUUGCUAGACUUUCAAAAUCACCACAUUUGGCUAACCAAAUCACGAAAUUUUUUUGAUGAAACUUUGUACACAACCUAUAUUACGCAUAUACAUUAGAAACAAGUCAUUAUAACAACAAAAAAAAUGCUCUAAGGACCACGGCAUGUACAGGGGCAGAAAUGAAAAAAAUCUCCCCUUCACUUCCUUUGAGCUUUCCUUCAACAAUACAACCUAUUUCCACUAGAUUAAAUACUAAUCCAACAUUAAUAACUCAAAACACAACAAAUCAGUCCAUCAAGCUAUAGUGGGAGUUUAUAGAGCCCACACACCAAUUUUUCAACAUAAAUAAAGCUACCCAUGAGAAUCCAAGAGCUUAUGGGUGUAAUAUAACUUCCACAAACUAAGAUUUUGGUAGUUGAUCGUUGUUUACCUCUCUUGAUGAACAAAACAGAAAUUUUCGGCCUCUUGAAGCUCAACAAAACCGUGGAAAGCAAGCUCUCUUCCUAGCUUGAGGUGGUCUCCAAGUAAUUUACAAGUUGUAGCUAAAAUUUGGGAUGAUUUGGGUGAGGAUUUUGUGAAGAAAUGGUGAAGAAUUUUGGAGAGCUUUGGGUUGUUUUCCUUCCCUUGGUGGCUGGCUGGAAUGAGAGCAAGAGAGAGAGUGCUUUGAUCAAAAUGAAGCUUCCAAGAGAAGCUUUAAUGUGUGCAUGGCUACAAUUCGUUCAAAAGUCAACCCUCUCCCGCACGCGCACGCGCACGUUUCGUGCUCAAUUCCUCUCGAAUUUGUUUCACUUGAGCACUAAACAUUUAAUGUACUUCCAAUCAUAUUAUUAUUAUUCACUCUUAAUAGUCCAAAAAUAAAGUUUAAAGUUCCUCAAUUAAAUCGCACGCGCAAAACGCGUACCUCCGAUUUGUGCGCGGUGAAGCGAAAUUUUCAAGAAAUUCUUAUAACGAUAGUAUUACUAACUAAUAAUUGAAUACUUAAGUAUAAAAAUACCUAUUUUAAGACUAAUGUACGAGUCUCCAAUUUUCCAAGCUCAUUGUAUUCUCGAAUCGAUUAUUAACUCCAAUCGCGUAUUCACUAUUCUCACUUAACGGCUUUCAAAAAUUAAAUUUUGAAACGAGUCAUUUUAAAAAUAUAAGUGAGUCAUAGUUCCAUGAAAUUGGGUCUAAAAAGUUUGAAAUAAAAUAUUCUGGGCAAAUGGACAAUUAAAUAUUUAAAUAAGCUAGUAACAGGAGUUUAAAAUAGGUUAAUUUUUGCGAGUCCUCACAAAUGGACUCCACAGUGACAACUUAUAAUAUCGUCACAAUAGGGUUGCUAGUUCAGAAUUAGUGACAACAAUUAGUCGUCACUAUCUAAAGUACUAGUUCCUAACAUGCUUUUAUUAAUUCUACUAUGCCACUCUGUGGCAAUCCCACCUUUCCCUAGGGCGUACCCUAAGGUACCAUCAGUCCGUCUGUCCAACUCUCGUCAGGACUCAUUAACAAACUUCACUCAUCAAACUCACAUGUCCAAACUUAUUACAAGGUACACUAAAUAUAACUAAUACCUGUAGUUGUCUGUCGAAGCAACUUAAAAUACAAAAGAGAGUUUAAGUUUACAAAUAACAUUCAAAAUAAUAAUAUAGUACUCUAAUCACUUAGUCUAACUAAAAGAAAAGCGAAGUGCUAAUCCCUGAAUCACGAACGAAUCCUAUUAAGGGAAAUAAAAGGAAAGGCAUGAGCUUACGGCCAGUGAGGUAUAAGAAAGUGAUGCAAUCUAAGUUAGCAAUUAUUUCACAUUUUCAAGUCAACGGGAGACAUAAACAAGAAGUAACAUCUACGCACAUUAAUAAAAAAAAUCAAUGUGUCGAUCAUUAAGGAUAUUGAACACACUGGCGAACCAUUCAAUCAAUCAUUUAGUCAAGUAGUUGACACUUCGUCAAAUUUCAUGUCCUUGUAGAAUCACCACUUCACACCACUCUAUCCACCUUUUGCCCCCUACUGGGCCUUCACACUACAAAUUUUCAGGAAUUGGUAUUAUUCGAGUAUACCCAGUAUAGUAUGGAUCCAACACACAUGUACUACCCAAGAUUCGCUAAUCGAGUUGACCAAACCCUUGCCGGCUCGACCUCAAAUAACUAGCCAUUGGGAUUUUUUUUUCCUUUCGGGGCCCUCACAUAUCGUUAAUAUCAUAUCAUAUUCACUUAUAGCAAUAACAGUUCAGUAGGGUCGAAUAUGAUAAAGUACACACUCGCUUAUUCAUAAACAAUUUCAAAAAUGACAGUUCAUAGCCAUAUCAUAUUUCUCAAACUCAUUGACAUAUCAAGCAUAUAUAUAGUGCUACCAUAUACUUAGAAUACUCACCAAAUAGUACUUAAGCAUCCACAGAAGGAUUGUCUGCACGUUUAGUUUGCAACCCUGACAGACAAAUACAACAUAUAAGUAAACCUUUAGUGUUCACCAAUUCAAUUCACUUAAGCAUGAAAACUUUGUUUUCAAAUUGGUCAACUUUAGUGUCCUAAGCACUUCAAUCUAUUUAGGCUUACAAAUCAACAAUUCAGGUAAAAAAAAAGGGUACAACUUUCCAUUAGAGCAAAAGCAUUUCAAAAGUUUGGACAAGGCUUUCCAAUCCUACAAUAGUUUUCUAGCAAGCAAAUCAUAGCAAAAGUCCAAUUUUUCAAUUAAUUACAUUCGUAGUUUUUGUCCCAAAAUCAUCUCACAAAUAAGGAUCAAAGUUUAAUAAGGUUUCUUGAACUAAACCAACCAAAACUUCAUUAAAACAAGGAUCCAAAGUCAAAUUAGUCCAUAAAGCUGUCAACCACUAAACUUUGGAGGAAAUCUUAUUUUCCUCCCUUAAAACUUCAAAAUUUUGAUCCAAAAUCAUUAUACAUACCAAGAUCAAAGUCCAAUAAAACCCUUUGAGCUAAAUUCCACCCAAAAAGAGCUUUUUUUUUUUUUUAACAUACUUUAAACAACAUAUAUAGAAUCAAGUAGAAUCAAAUUUCCUAAAAAUUUUCCAGCACGAGUGUACAAACAAGCCACAAAUUCAAGGAAGGUAAAGUUGAAAAUUUGCCCAUGGUAAUUGUCCAUCUAAACAGAAAUUCCAGCAUAUAUAUGCUCUAAUUUUCACCAACAAUUUACCAUAAAUCAUACUCAAAUCCUCAAGGGUUUCAUCAAUCAUUAACCCUAGGAUCUCAAGAGACAAGAAUUCACCAAAUUUUAGCCAAAUAUAUCAAGAUCUAAGCAUACGAAGAUCAUGUAAGCAUCUAGUACCAAAUUUCCAUAAAAUUUUCAAAUCCACUAUGGUUUUCCAUGAAUACCAUAAAUCUACCAAGAUCUUGUUCAAAAUUGCUUGAAAAGCAAAAGAAUAAAGUGAAGUAGCCACUUACCUCUUCAAAGCCCCAAACUUUAGCAUGAUUAACCCAAGAAGAUGGCAAGAUCCACUCCCUAGGAGGCUUUUCUCUCAAGAUAUUCCAAAAGUUCAAGUAAAUUGGUGAAAGGGAAGCUUGGAUCUUCAAGAAUUUCAAGAAGAUUGGGGUUUCUCUCUCCCCUCUCUCCCUUUCUCUAAAUUUCGGCCAGCAAGAAAAGAAAAAUGAGGUGGCUUUUGGUUGCUUUUUGAGCUAAUGUAAUGGCCACAAGACAAGGUUUUCAAGUCAACUAGGAAUAGUGUCUUAAAUAGUGUUUUUCACUUAGGUUUCCUGCUAUCAACCCUUAGCUUUUCUAACCUUUUUUUAACUCCCAAAAUCUUUCUUCACUUCACUAAUAUCUCAACUUAUAUUCUCCUUGUGACGACCCCACCUCCUCCUAAGGCGAACCAAAGGGGUUCCGCGGACCGCCUGCCCAACUCUCGUCGGGGCUUACUCACUUAUCGCUUCAAGAGCAAGUAAAGAUGUGCCAAUCAAACUAAACAUAACUUAACAUAUAUACAAUCAUUAACACAGAUAUACAAUCCUCAAGGUUAAGUACAAAAAGUCCAGGAUCCAACCAACUACUAAUACUAUUACUAUUACACAACAAAAGUUCUAGUCAAAAUUGUAGUCUUCCUCUAAUCACUCAUCCUUUCUCUUAAACCUUGUAAGGAAACCAAAUGUAACGGAAUAUAGGGAUGAGCUAAAAUUCAGUGAGGUUCCCAUACACAUAACCAAGCAAUUAAAACAAGGACAUUAUUCAUUUAAUAAUAAUCAAUCGAAAACACAUUCACAAUAUAAAAAUAAUGAAAACACACUCAUUAAAAGGAUACAUGCUCACGUAGAGCCUUUCAUUCCAUCAUUCAUUCAUUCAGUCAGGCAUUCUCCUUCCUUCAAUCAUUCAUUUCUUCCCUUAUAACUUCAAUAAUUCAAUUCAUUCAUUUCAUUUCCCGCCACUAGCCAAUUCACUGGCCAGUUCUCCACCAAACUUCGUGGUCAUAUUCGAGUAUACCAAAACACUGUCCCAGGGUCACCAGCCGCCCGACUGAGUCUACUUUUGGCUCGAGUCGACUGGCAACGAAGGGCAAGGGUCCAGUUCAACCAAAAGACUUAUAUUCAUGCACAAGUAACAUUCAAUCAUUUAAUCAUUAAAAUUUCACGUUCACUUAAGUCGAGUGCGAUAAAGUACACACUCGCCCAUCGAAAAUUCAUUUAACAAUCAUUGAAAAACAUUUAACAUUCAAGCAAACACUCACAAAUAUUCACAUAGUCACUUCUUGCAUAAACAUGCAAGGAAUACUCACUCUAAACAAGUCACGUUUUAUCAAAUUUUAGUUCAGGGCCGGCACCUUGGCCACUCUUGAAAUCUGCAGUCAAAUAUGGUCCACAAAAAUCCAAUCAUACACGAGUGCAAGCUACAUAACCUAUAUUUCUAUAUCAAAGGAAAAAGGCAUGAAAAGUAUUGUAAGUCAUAUAGGCAAGGUACACGCAUAAUUUGUAAAAAAAAUGAUAAAAAACGGUUAAGUUUAAAUCCAAUAUGUGCAACUAAAAACCAUGUUUUGAAUACUUGUUUAGAAUAUUAGAAAUCAGGUUUAGAACACUUGAGAAGUACAUGUUAAGUCGGACCAAGGAAACGGAAAAGAAAAAAAAAAGGCAACAAGAAACAAUGAAGAUGGCAGCUUUGCCAUCCUUUGGUGUUUUGAUCACAACUGAAGCCACACUUAUUGGAUUGAGGCAAACUUUAUGGUGUUUCGAAUCUAAAACAGAGACCUACAUUUCCAAUGAAGACAUCAGCACCCAGGUCUCGCAUUGUCAGCACAUGAAAAACAGGUCAGGAAAAUUAGAGUUUUUGUGCAGUCAUGAGUGCUCUGGCGAAAUCAUAAGCAGUCCAAUUGAUCUGAAAUUUUACAGGUAGAAAUUUAAGUCAAAUCCCUAUAACUUUCAUGUUUUGUCCAAAAGCUGAUUCAGUUUAAAACAUGGAGAAAUUUGCAGCCCAAGUUGAUUCCAAAAACAGGGCAAAACUGAAAGUCACCACCAAAUGUUGGAAAUUCAACUUUUAACUCUACAAAGUCACAAACAUGCUCUUAAUCACUUCACAAAUGAAAUUUCCAAGCUCAAUAACAACAUUUACUAGUUAAACAACAUAAUCAUCGCUGGAAAAUAUAAAACCCUAACUGAAAAUUCGACUACACCAUCAAGACUAGGAAAUCAACCAUAGCAAGUCAAGAUUAAAAGCUCCUAUAUCAAACUUAGCAAGAUUAAAUAAAAGAAAAGGAAGUUGAAGCCUUAUACCUUCCAAUACUUGUUGCUAAGUGAAGAACCAACCACUUUCUCCCAAGAUUUCCACCACUCCUAGCUUCCUAAUCACCAAGAGGUAAGUUUAAUCGGUUUGGUUUGUGUGAUUUCAACUCAACAAGGAAGAAUCAAGGUUAGAGUUAAAGUUGGUUUUCUCUCUUUUUCUUUCUUUCUUGCUCAUGGCCACAUGAAGAAAUGAGGAAGACAAGGAGCCAAAAUGGAAGAUAAGAAGAAAGAAGUUGUCUUGGUCAACCAUCCCUAACUUCCAACACUUGGCACCAUAAGAUAUUUUCUUUUUUUUUUUCUCUUUCCUCCUCUUUCCUUAGUCAAGAAUUUUGGCUGCUUUGAGAGGAAAUUUAGGGCUGAUUAGCUCAAAUAAAAAUAAGGAGAUUAGGACAAGAAAGUAGUGGUCAAGUGGAGUACUUGAUCGGUAGCAAACGGUGCACGUCGGUUCAAGCCUAUUUUUCUUAACUCUCGCGUACUUAUGUUUUAACUUGUGAUUCACUAACUUAUUAUUAGCACUUCUAAUCAAACACUUUCUCUUAUAUAAAACUCAGUCUUAACCACCAAAUUAGUACACACACCUCACCAAUAAAUCACACUACCAAAAUAGGCGAAAACCCUAGUUUACCCUAACUUCCGCUAUUCCUUUAGAAAAAUCAUAAUUUGAGUUAUACUAUCAAAAAUUCAUACAACUUGGCCUAUUAAAUAUUAGACUUCAAAUACUAAUAAUCUUUAGAAGACACCUCAAAAAGAUUCAAUUCAUAAGUUGGGCCAAAUUAAGCCGUAAACGACUAUAACAUUCCUAUUUUUACUUGUGCAAGGCAAAAUUUUCAAUCAACUUUGCCGAUUUUCUGGUAUUUAUAGAAAUUGAAUCAAACUCUAAUUUUUAUAUCGUAGGAAGCCCAAUGAGUCUAGUUUCAAAUACAACAAACGAAACUCAAUUCCGACUUUCCUAUACUAAGUUAUAGCCAAUUUCCCAAAUUUGCGCAGAGCCUCUUGCGAAAAUUUCUAGAUUUUCUAACAACUUGAGAUUAUGAAAAUUUUCCUAACAAAAUUCACUCUCUUGGCUCAAUUUCAACCAUUAAAGCAACCAAGAAUCAAAGUUAAGUCAGUUCACAUAAGGGUUAUAAAGACAAAUAAAAUUUCGAGGUCUCACACUCCUAGGGUUUUGGCCAAAUUCACUAAUAAGUCACGAAAUCAAUAAUUUUCAAGAAAUUAAUCGCUCAAAAGUUAAAAUAACAAGGAAGAGAAACUCACUUAUCAAUUAACAAGUAAAUCACUAAAUGAAUGCAAAUUUUAUAAAAAAAAUAUAAGUUAAAUAGGAAUGCAAUUAGUUGGGAAGUGAGAAAAUAAUUUUUCUGAGUCAUCAUAUCCUCCCUUAAAAGAAUUUUGUCCCCGAAAUUCUCAAGUGGUCAAGCGAACAAAUCUGCAUAGUUCUUCCACAUUUCCUCCUCCAUCUCCUAAGCCAUUUCUUCCAUUCCAUGGUUUCUCCACAAGACUUUCACCAAAGAGGUUUUCUUCCUUCUUAACUCUUUCACUUUCCGAUCCAAAAGUUGUACUGGUUGUUCCUUAUAAGUCAAUGACUCGUCAAUCUCUAAAUCUUUAGGUUGGAGCACAUGAGUUGGAUCUGGGUAGUACUUCUUAAGUAAGGAGACAUGGAAAACAUCAUGAAUUUUAAAAAGACUUAAAAGCAACUCUAAGCAAUAUGCUACACUUCCCACUCAUUGUAAAAUCUUAAACGGUCCUAUAUACCUCGGCUUGAGUUUCUUCCCUUUUCCUGUCAUGAUUCUAGCUUUCAAUAUUGUAAUCUUAAGGAAAGCCCUAUCCCCAUCUUCAAAUUCUAAGUCUUUUCUUCGAUUAUCUGUGUAGCUUUUCUGUUGACUGUGAGCUGCUUGAAUCCUUUGACGUAUAAUUUUUACUGUCUCAUAAGCAUCUUCAAUCCACGGUAAUGUUGUUGGAUCCACGAUUUUUCUUUCCCCUACUUCUUCCCAAAAAAAUUGGGGAAAGACAUUUCCUCCCAUAAAGAGUCUCAUAUGGAGCCAUUUGGAUAGUCGAAUGAUAACCAUUAUUAUAGGCACUCUACCAAGUUUAGGUAUUGUCCCAAACUUUAUCCAAAAUCCAAAACACAAGUCCUCAACAUAUCCUCAAGGGUCUGAAUAGUCUUUUCCGAUUGCCCAUCGGCCUGAGGGUGGUAAGUAGUAUUAAAAUUCAACUUAGUUUCCAAAACUUCUUAUACCUUUUGCCAGAACUGAGAUACAAAUUUGAGAUCUCUAUCUGACACUAUACUUACUGGCACCCCAUGUAACCUCACAAUCUCAUCCAAGUAGAGUUUAGCUAAUUUCUCCAAAGGAUAUUUCAUGUUAAUUAGCAAGAAAUGAGCAGUCUUAGCUAAACGAUCGACUAUCACCCAAAUUGCAUCAUAACCCUUUUGAGUCCUCGAUAACCCCAACGCGAAAUCUAUAGUAAUAUGCUCUCAUUUUCACUGAGGUAUUUCUAACAACUGCAGUAAUCUUGAGGGUUUCUAGUGUUCUUCUUUCACCUGCUAACAAACAAAACAGGUCUGAAUGAACCGUGCUAUUUCCCUCUUCAUAUUAUCCCACCAAUACAAUUGCUUCAUGUCUCUGUACAUUUUAUUACUUCUAAUAUGUAUUGAAUACUUUGAGUGUUGAGUUUCUUCUAAAAUUUCUCUUUUUAUUCCGUCAUUUUUUGGCACUACUACUCGAUUUCUAUACCUUAAAACUCCGUCGGAUCCCAAGCAAAAUUCUGGAAGUUCUCCUCUUUGCACUUUUUAACUCCAUUUAUAUACCACUAGGUCUCUCUUUUGAGCUUCCUUAAUGCAUUCCAAUAAAGUUGACCUCACAACUAUAUUCCCACAAAUCACCUUUUGAUACUCAAUUUGAAGAUUCUAUUCACUAAUCUUUUCUAAUAAAUGCCAUUCCAAGAUCAUAAGCCCAACUAUCUGAACUUUUCGUCUGAGUGCACCUACCACUACAUUAGCCUUUUUCGGGUGAUAAUUAAUAGUACAAUCAUAGUUUUCCAAAAAUUUCAUCCACUGAUGUUGCCUCAAAUUCAACUCUUUUUGGAAAAAUAAAUACUUAAAACUUUUAUGGCCAAUAUACACCUCAAAGGUCACUCUAUAUAAAUAAUGCCUCCACUUCUUGAGGGCGAAAAUCACCGUGGCAAAAUUAUGAGUCGGAUAAAUUUGCUCAUGAGGUUUCAAUUUCCUAGAGGCAUAAUCUAUUACCUUUUCUUUUUGCAUCAAUACACCUCCUAACCUUUCUUUCGAUGCAUCAAUAUAUAUUGUGAAACCAUCUUUCUCACUUGGCAAAAGCAAAAUCAAUCCACUAGUCAACUGCUUCUUCAAUUCAUGAAAAUUGAUCUCACACCCAAAUAAACUUGGUGUUUUUCUAGGUUAACUCAGACAAUGGCCUGGCAAUCUUGAAAAAAUCUGGGAUAAAUUGAUGGUAGUAACCUACUAAACCUAAGAAACUACAAAGCUCAAUGGAAUUUUCUGGUUGCUUCUACUUAGAUACCGCCUCCACCUUCGCUGCAUCCAAAGUUAUUCCAUCCUUAGAAAUUAUAUGCCCAAGGAAAGAUACCUUAUCCAACCAAAACUCGCAUUUGCUAAACUUGGCACAUAACUGAUGUUCUCUUAGGAUUUGCAAGCACUAUCCUCAAAUGGUAUUCAUGGUCUUCAUUUGUUUUCGAUUAUACCAAAGUAUCAUCAAUAAAGAUCACUACAAAAUAAUGAAGAUAAGGUUUAAAAAUCGGAUGCAUCAAAUCCAUAAAAGUUGCUAGAAUAUUAGUCAAUCCAAAAGGCAUCACUACAAAUUCAAAAUGCCCGUAUCUAGAAUUAAAACCAGUCUUGGGUAUAUCCUCUUCUUUAAUCUUUAGUUGAUAGUAUCCUUGUCUAAGAUCCAACUUAGAAAAUACCACCGCUCCUUAUAAUUGAUCAAACAAUUCAUCUAUGUGAGGCAAACGAUAUUUAUUCUUAAUAGUAAUAUCAUUCAACACUCGAUAAUCGAUGCACAGUCUCAAACUCUCAUCUUUCUUCUUAAUAAAUAAGACUAGAGUUUCCCAAGGCGAAUCACUCUCACGUAUAAAUCCUUGCUCUAUUAAAUAUUGUAAUUGUAACUUCAAUUCUUUCAACUCAACUGAUGCCAUCCUAUAAGGAGUUUUAGAAAUAGGUGCAAUCCCUGGUAGCAAGUCGAUCUUAAACUUUAUAUCUCUCUCAGGUGGUAACGAGACCAACUCCUUGGGAAAAAUGUCAGGAAAAUCUUUCACUCUUGGUACAUCUUCCAACUUCACUUGUUCCCCUGGGGUAUUAAUUAGGAAGGCUAGGUACCCUUGAACUCAUUUACUUAGCAAUUUCUUAACUCAAAUCCUUGAAAAUAGAGCUGACGAGGCUAACUUUCCUCUCACGUCCAACCUUAGUAUUGCUUCCCCCGGAAUGCAUAAUUCCACGAUUUUCAUCUUACAAUCUAAUUGAGCAUGAUAUUGAACUAACCAAUCCAUCUCAAAAAUGGCAUCAUAUCCCUUAAUCGAUAAACUUUUUAGCUUAGGCAACAACUUACGCUACCCAACCCAAAUCUUGCAAUUUCUUACACCAAGUUAGAAGUCAAGCAUUAAUCUCCCGUGGGUGUUCUAACUUUCAAAUCAUAAGGCAAUUUUGUGAUGGCCCCACCUCCCCCUAGGGCGUACCCCAGGGUUUAGCGGACCGCCUGCCCAGUUCUCGCCAGAACUCACUCACUCAUAACUCAAGAAAAAAAACAAAUAACGUACAUCCAGAGAAAAUAAAUAACACAUCCACUUCAACUUAAUAUAUACAUUGAUGCUCAAAUCCAGGUACGAAGCUUCUACAUACCAAAGUACUUCAAAGUGUUUACAUUUCGAGUACAAUCAACCCUAGUCGGGUACUAGCGUGAGUACAAUUACAAAAUUCAAAACAAUUAGACUACACUAGUCUGUGCAAGUCACAAACCUCACUCGUACCCCCUGUAAGGAAAACAAAUGGCAUGGAAUGAGCUAAAAGCCCAGUGAGGUUCCAAAUAGCAAAUUGGUCAUCAAAUAAAAUAAAAAUAGCAUGAUAGUGAAAUAGCGAGCAUGCCAAGUUUAUGAAAGUGAGCAAUAACACGUCUAAUAGCAAAUGUCAAAAUGAGUUUGUUUUCCAAAAAAAAAAAACAAUAACACUUCGAAUAACCAUCAAAGUAUAAGGAUACAGAUGGCUCUCAAGAGCCAAAUUUCCAUUGCAUCAUCAGGAGCUUGAUCACGUAAUAGUUGACACUCCGUCAACUUUCAAGUAAAGGAACCAAUCCAGCAGAGUACCACUUACACUACUCUCCGUCCACCAUUCAAACCCCCUACUGGAUCCAAAAUCCUCAAUAAACACUGGUGGUAAUACUCGAGUAUACCGAUUAGUCGAGGAGAUAUCGCACCACUCGACAAAACAAAAGACCCAGGGUUCGUUACCCAAUCGACCAAACUCUUGUUGGCUCGACUCGAGUAAUUCGCCAAGGAUUUCUGGAAUUUCAGGAAGUGCGCACCAUAUGCACAAAUAUAUCAAAUCCAUUGCAACAAUAAACAAGUAUAUCUCAUAUUAGAGCAAGUGCGAUAAAGUACACUCUUGCCCGAGCAAACAAAUGACAUGUCAUUUAAUCAUAUUGAUCACGUAUUAGAAACAAGUGUCCAGUCCAAUCAGUUAUUUGGAAGCACUCACCAAAAGUAGUGCCUCUAGUGAUCGUGCCUGGGUUGUACUCCGGGUUUGGAGUCCAAAUCUGCGAUAAAACUUUGUUUAAGAACUUUAAAAAUCGACUAAGGUUCGAAACGUAGACGUUUCGUUCAAUAAGAAUCAAGAAAUGGAAAUUCACUUGGAGAAUAUUCGUGAAACACUCGCUCGCUUUUCAAACUAUAUAACUUUGUAACAUUUAUACUUGGAAAUACCAUUUGAGUCGAAAGUACAUGGAAAACGUAUUCCUAGUAGUCAUGAUUGUAUUUCUCAAGGUUACAAGUUCGGCCAAAUCCUCACUAAUGUACCUCGAUAAAAGAAGAUGCAAAUAUCCUGGAUAGUUCAAAUGGUAAUCGCUCUUAACCCUUACUCAAGUUGCAAGUAUGUCUACCUAGCCCUUGAGCGUAAAUUUGGGCAGCACGCCCUUUGUACUUUCCUAUUUCCAGCUAUUUAUGGCUUCAUUCUUUUCCUCAAUCAAACCCAAAGUUACAGACAAAAUAAUCUCAUUUCAAUAGCCGUUCAAUAGGCUCAAGGUCAGACAAGUACAAAAUCAAGCUAACGACAUGUACGGAAAUGAAGUUUAGCAAAAGACAGAUUUGAUGUUGUUUUGCGUAACGGACACAACCGAAGCUAUGCUUAUCAAGAUUGGAGUGCAAUUUAUACCGUUUCGAAGCUAAGGCAGAGAGCUAUAACUUUGAUGAAGAUCACCUAGUCCAGUUCAUAGUGUAUCUAUGUCAAAAUUUUGAAUUACUAAACCAGAAGCGCACAAACAGGUCAGUUAAUUGCGCUAUGUUUAAACAACAAUAACUCAGGCUACCGAAGUCUAAACGAGGUGAUUCUAGGGGCGUUGGAAAGCUAAAACAUAGCACUACAACUUUUGUGUUUUGGCUAAAUGCUAAUUCAGUACACAUCAGGGUGAAAAGACACAGUUAGUGUUGUGAAAUAUCAAAACUAUCCGUUGGACUAAACCUAUGAGAGUCAGGGGUAUUUUUGUCUUUUCAUGGUCUACGUUGCUCUGAUUGAGCUGAAAUUUUGCAGAAAACUAUAAAAUAUCAUUCUCUACAACCUUUAUGUUUUAUGCUAAGCUUAAUUCAGCCUCUAACAUAAUAAACUGGAAAUGGCAAAACUGAAGCUACAAUUUCCAGAAAUCUGGAAUUUUGUUAUAUUCAAGCUAUAAUUCACAUUUUUACCUUAAAACUACUACUACUUUCUCCUUUACAAGAUAAUAUACCAUAUAUAUACAUCAUUUAACACCUAACCCACAAGAAAUAUAAGUGAAUCAAUCAAAACCCUAACUCAAAAUUCAUCACUCCAACCAUCAAAACUAGUUGAAACAAGCAUCACAAGCACAAUUCUAACGUUAAUACCCAACUUAAUCAUGAUUAAUGGAGAAAUAAAGGUUGAUCAGCCAUUAUACCUCAAGACAAGAACUUACAAGAAGGAUCAUCCACUUCUCCUUGAAAUUUGUUUUUCCUCAAGCUUCCCAUGUUUCUAAACUAGUGAUUAAUCGGUUUAGUUUUUCUUUUUCUCACUUAAAAAGGUUGGAUUCAAGGUUGGAAAUGGAAAACUCUCUUCACUCUCCUCCCUCUCCUUGCUCUCGGCCAAACCAGAAAAAAAUGAUGAAGAAUGAGCUCAAAUGAAAGAUAAGAAGGCAAGACAAAAGGGUUUGGUCAAAGGGCCAUUGAUGGCCAACAAGUGACACCACUAAAAUCCAUCCAAUUUUGUUUUCUUUUCCUUGCAUUUUGGGUCAAUAAUUUCGGCUAUAAGGGCUAAGGAUGAGGGAGAUAUUUUGCAACAAUAUCAAGGAUAUGUGGUGGUAGGAAAGUGGUAGUCAAGUGGUGUGUUCAAUCGGUAGUGAACAGUACCCGUCGUUUCGAGCCAUUUUUUCUUAAAUCGCGUAUACUAGGGUUUUAACUUAUAAUUCACUAACUUAUUAUUAUCACCUCUAAUUCCAUACUUAAUAUCAUCUAAAACUCACUUUUAAUCACCAAAUUUGAUCCACACUUCGUACCGGAUGAUCGCACUACGGAUAAGCGUAAAACCCUAAUUCGCGCUAACUUGAAAACGGAAAGUGAAACCCUACUUCCUAGAUUCAUUUGCACUUAUUGUGGGGUGAUUGGGUAUUUGGGUUAUUAUAAAAUAAUAAUUUCCAAAUAAAAAGGAAAUUUUAAAAUAUAUAUAUAAAGAAAUUUACGGGUCCUCACAAAUUUGGUAGGCUUUACAUCUACCGCACUCAUAAAAUCAGGUUUCACAAAUGAAUGAGUCACACUAGGGUCUAUUAAAACCUUAGCUAAGCGAUAAAAUAUAGGGAUCGUACCUUCUAUAACCUCAGUCGAGUUAGGAAUUUGUUGAUAAUCCAAGGCAUUAAUCCUAGCCGGCACUUUAGAUCUACCCCUUCCUGAACUUGUUGGCUUAGUAGCAAACUUAUCUGAUCGUUGGGCGUUACUUCCUUUUGAAGACAUGAGCGGGCAACUAGAAAUCUGAUGCUGUGCACUUCCACUAUGAAAAUACCUUUUUUCUUUCCUCCAGCAAUUGCUCUCAGCAUUACCCGACUUUCCACAAUAACCAUAGGGUGCAUGACAGGUUACUCCCUGGCCUCCUUGUGAGGUACACAUUCUAAUUCCACCGGUCCCUCUGCUAGCCUUAGGAGGUGGCAUGCUCUUAUUGGUUUGCCCUAAUAUGCCACUCGGUAUAUUCCUUUUUCUCACUUGAAAGGCUUUGACUUGAAGCCUUGUACUCUUAACCCUCUGAGCCUUUUCUAAUAUCUCGACGAAGAUAUCAAUUGAGCUACUAUUACAGCCUCCUAGAUCUCCACAUUUAACCCUUAUACAAAUUUUCUUACCUUUUUUUGCAUAGUCACGACCAAUUUUGGAGCAAAUUUUGAAAGAUUAAUAAUUUGAGUCUCGUACUUCGCCAUAUUUAAAUUGCCUUGCCGAAGUCUUAUAAAGUCAUCCUCUCUUUUUUCUUGAAUCAACGGAGAAAAAUACUUCUCGUUAAACUCUCUCACAAAAUUUGUUCAAGUCCAAGGGGUCUGAUUUCUCUCCCACUUAAUUCUCAUAACAUUCCACCAAGAUCGAGUCGCUCCCUCAAAUUGGAAAACGGUGAAGGACACUUGCUACUCUUCAGUGUAAUUUAGGGCAGCAAAGAUAUCGAUCAUCUUUUUGAGCCAACUCUCAGCUAUCUCAGGGUCAGGCCUUCCUGAGAACUUAGGUGGGAAAAUUUUUUGGAAUCGUUCUAAAGCUUUGUCCACUCCUUCCUCAAAACCCCCAGGUUGAAUCACAGGCUCUUGACCCUACCUAUCCACUAUCCUCUCUAAGAGGUCAGUCAUCUGGUUGAUGGCCAAAGGCACUUGUUCACCUACUUCGGUCCUUGGCCCACGAUUUUGACCAACUGCAGAUCCUUGGUUACCCUUUUGCUCUUAGGGUUGUUUACGUCUCAAACCACAACCUCGACCUCGACCAUUCAUGGUUUUAAUACAAAUCUAAACAAAAUUUAAAUACAUGUACAAGCUAUAACACCAAUUAAGAGUAAAAUAAACAUUGCAUUUAGGAUAAUAAGUCAUAGAUAUGUACAUUAGACCAAAAGAGUUCAUAAGAUUUUCCAAAUCAGGAAAAAUAAGCCAGAAUACACAAAAUACAAUAUCCAAACUCAUUAAGAGCACAAAAACAUCAAAAAAAAAGCCUAAUCUAACAACUAUCCCCUAUACACAAAAAGAAAGAACUUUCAAAAUGUGCUAUCCUAGUCCAUAAUAGAGCCAACAGACUCUCUCUCAUGAGUAGAACUAGGUGCAUCCCCUCUCGAGAAGCUCCGUCGCCUUGACCCUCCAUAGGUGCAUUAGCGCCAAUCACCCCCUAGAGUGGUGCUCCACGCUCAUCAAUGAUACCCCUAGCUCGGUCCUUGACCAUUCUGACCACCCUAGUGAGGCGGCCAUUAACUACCAACAGCUGCUCUCUAAAAGCAUUCGUUCGUUCCUGCUCCAUCAAUAUAUCCUCCCGAAGCUCCUGAAUCCUAUCAAUCAGCAUCUUCAUGAUGCCUUUCAUCCUCUGAAUCUUAGUCUGAGCCCUACGGUUGGCUCCAGCUAACCUCCUCUUCUCAUCAACUAUAGCUAGGACUACUUGAUCAGGAUACAAGUAGAUCCUCCAACAAUCACAGGGCCAAGUUCGACGCCUAGUCCCCAAUGUCGGAGAGGUCCCCCAGGUCUCUCUCGAUAAGUAAUGACUCAAUGAGGCUUCGCUGGAUCCUCAUUACCAUUAUUCCCUCCUUUCAUGUCCUACAUGACGACAGAAGAAGAAACUUAGACUUACUUAUCCAGUUUAACCCUAGCACUUAAAAAGUCAAUACUUGAACAAUUCACAACUUAAUAAGUCAUUCUAGCACUCCUAUUACUUCAUAUCUGCAGGAUUCCAUAUUUGGCGCAGAUUAAUUUGAAAGCUAACCUCUGAUACCA